UACGGGGGGGGCAAGCGUUGUUCGGAAUUACUGGGCGUAAAGGGCUCGUAGGCGGCCGAUCAAGUCGGGGGUGAAAGCCUGUGGCUCAACCACAGAAUUGCCUUCGAUACUGUUUGGCUUGAGACCGGAAGAGGUAAGUGGAACUGCGAGUGUAGAGGUGAAAUUCGUAGAUAUUCGCAAGAACACCAGUGGCGAAGGCGGCUUACUGGUCCGGUUCUGACGCUGAGGCGCGAAAGCGUGGGGAGCAAACAGG
RNAcentral lists this ribosomal RNA (253 nucleotides) under uncultured bacterium. RNAcentral's name for it is "partial 16S ribosomal RNA". It matches the Rfam family "Bacterial small subunit ribosomal RNA", at positions 524 to 776 of the family's 1533-position model. The record is from RNAcentral.